Molecule: ribosomal RNA, 305 nt
Filed under: uncultured bacterium
Lineage: Bacteria
Description: bacterial SSU rRNA
Rfam family: Bacterial small subunit ribosomal RNA
Source: RNAcentral
UCCUACGGGGCGCAGCAGUGGGGAAUAUUGCACAAUGGGGGGAACCCUGAUGCAGCGACGCCGCGUGGGUGAAGGAGCACCUCGGUGCGUAAAGCCCUAUCGGCAGGGAAGAAACAGACGGUACCUGACUAAGAAGCCCCGGCUAACUACGUGCCAGCAGCCGCGGUAGUACGUAGGGGGCAAGCGUUAUCCGGAUUUACUGGGUGUAAAGGGAGCGUAGACGGCUGUGCAAGUCUGAAGUGAAAGCCUGUGGCUCAACCGCGGAACUGCUUUGGAAACUGUAUAGCUUGAGUACUGGAGAGGCG